GACGAACGCUGGCGGCGUGCUUAACACAUGCAAGUCGAGCGGUAAGGCCCUUCCGGGGGUACACGAGCGGCGAACGGGUGAGUAACACGUGGGUGACCUGCCCUCAGCUCUGGGAUAAGCCUGGGAAACCGGGUCUAAUACUGGAUAUGACUCCAUGACGCAUGUUGUGGGGUGGAAAGCCUUGUGCGGCUGAGGAUGGGCCCGCGGCCUAUCAGCUUGUUGGUGGGGGAUGGCCUACCAAGGCGACGACGGGUAGCCGGCCUGAGAGGGCGACCGGCCACACUGGGACUGAGAUACGGUCCAGACUCCUACGGGAGGCAGCAGUGGGGAAUAUUGCACAAUGGGCGAAAGCCUGAUGCAGCGACGCCGCGUGAGGGAUGAAGGCCUGG
This 389-nucleotide ribosomal RNA is filed under the name uncultured bacterium. Its description in RNAcentral is "bacterial SSU rRNA". It matches the Rfam family "Bacterial small subunit ribosomal RNA", at positions 28 to 419 of the family's 1533-position model. The record is from RNAcentral.